AACGAACGCUGGCGGCAUGCCUAACACAUGCAAGUCGAACGAGACCUUCGGGUCUAGUGGCGCACGGGUGCGUAACGCGUGGGAACCUGCCCUUAGGUUCGGAAUAACUCCCCGAAAGGGGUGCUAAUACCGGAUAAUGUCUUCGGACCAAAGAUUUAUCGCCUUUUGAUGGGCCCGCGUUGGAUUAGCUAGUUGGUAGGGUAAAAGCCUACCAAGGCGACGAUCCAUAGCUGGUCUGAGAGGAUGAUCAGCCACACUGGGACUGAGACACGGCCCAGACUCCUACGGGGGGCAGCAGUGGGGAAUAUUGGACAAUGGGCGAAAGCCUGAUCCAGCAAUGCCGCGUGAGUGAUGAAGGCCUUAGGGUUGUAAAGCUCUUUUACCCGGGAUGAUAAUGACAGUACCGGGAGAAUAAGCGCCGGCUAACUCCGUG
RNAcentral lists this ribosomal RNA (433 nucleotides) under uncultured bacterium. RNAcentral describes it as "partial 16S ribosomal RNA". It matches the Rfam family "Bacterial small subunit ribosomal RNA", at positions 29 to 507 of the family's 1533-position model. The record is from RNAcentral.